CACAGUUCAACACAAAGGGUCACAGCUCCAGCGUUUCAACCAACAGCUCCACAAAAGAUUUUGAUACGGCCCUGUGUGACCCAUCGCUUACAGUCAACUCUGCAUUGAGGGAUGCUUUGUGUACCACACAACACACAUGGCCCCACCCCCUUUCCUCCUACACAAUACAAUGGAGGGACUACAGGAAUUCCUCUACAAGUACCUGGCUCCUGAUUGGUCAGAACGGAAUUCUAAAGCCAAUCAGUUGAGACAUUGACUCGUGUACUGCUACCGGUUCACUGUCUGUUGUCCUGGCAUCAUGAGGAGCAGGAGGCAGGUUUAUGAGCUCCCUGGAGAAACUCCCUUGGAGACAGUCUGGCCAUGUGUGCUGCCCUAAUGAUGAAGGCUUGAAAAUCUGUGAUAUUAUUUAAUAAUACAUUUUGAAUAAUCUUCUGGCUGCGGAGACAAUAUUAUUAUUCUUUAAUCAGACAGACAGAGACUCUCCUACUUACAAAAUGUAUCUCCUCAUGCCAUGAACUGAGAACAACCAGUGGAAAUUCAGACUAGACUAAUAAAUAAAUUAAAUAAGCACGGUGGUCCAGUGGAUAGCUCAGGAAGAAAGUUGCGGGUUCAAACCCCGGUUGCCCCGGCCUUUCUGUGUGGAGUUUGCAUGGUCUCCGUGGGUUUCCUCUGGGUGCUCCAGUUUCCCCCACCACCAAAAACGUGUUCUCCUGUCAGUGCCCACUGCUCGCCUGUAUGUAUGUGACAAUAAAGAAUCUUCUUCUAGAA
This is a long non-coding RNA of Micropterus dolomieu (smallmouth bass), 768 nucleotides long. RefSeq lists it as uncharacterized. The record is from RefSeq and is a predicted model, not a curated record. NCBI's taxonomy places the organism in Eukaryota, Metazoa, Chordata, Actinopteri, Centrarchiformes, Centrarchidae. The transcript has 2 exons.